Molecule: ribosomal RNA, 427 nt
Filed under: uncultured beta proteobacterium
Lineage: Bacteria; Pseudomonadati; Pseudomonadota; Betaproteobacteria
Description: bacterial SSU rRNA
Rfam family: Bacterial small subunit ribosomal RNA
Source: RNAcentral
UGGGGAAUUUUGGACAAUGGGCGAAAGCCUGAUCCAGCCAUGCCGCGUGAGUGAAGAAGGCCUUCGGGUUGUAAAGCUCUUUUAGUCGGAAAGAAAGAGUUGCAAUGAAUAAUUGUGAUUUAUGACGGUACCGACAGAAAAAGCACCGGCUAACUACGUGCCAGCAGCCGCGGUAAUACGUAGGGUGCGAGCGUUAAUCGGAAUUACUGGGCGUAAAGGGUGCGCAGGCGGUCUUGCAAGUCAGAUGUGAAAGCCCCGGGCUUAACCUGGGAAUUGCGUUUGAAACUACAAGGCUAGAGUGCAGCAGAGGGGAGUGGAACUCCAUGUGCAGCAGUGAAAUGCGUAGAGAUGUGGAAGAACACCGAUGGCGAAGGCAGCUCCCUGGGUUGACACUGACUCUCAUGCACGAAAGCGUGGGGAGCAAACA